AAGGUUUUAAGUUAAAUUAAACUAAUAUCCUUCAAAGUUAUAAAUAAAGAAAUUCAAUUCUUUAGGCCUUA
This 71-nucleotide transfer RNA is filed under the name Pseudoglomeris beybienkoi. Its description in RNAcentral is "tRNA-Trp". Lineage: Eukaryota; Metazoa; Arthropoda; Insecta; Blattodea; Blaberidae. The record is from RNAcentral.